CACGUAGUUAGCCGUGACUUUCUAAUUGAUUACCGUCAAACAAAGGUCAGUUACUACCCCUGUCCUUCUUCACCAACAACAGAGCUUUACGAGCCGAAACCCUUCUUCACUCACGCGGCGUUGCUCCAUCAGACUUGCGUCCAUUGUGGAAGAUUCCCUACUGCUGCCUCCCGUAGGAGUUUGGGCCGUGUCUCAGUCCCAAUGUGGCCGAUCAGUCUCUCAACUCGGCUAUGCAUCAUCGCCUUGGUAGGCCGUUACCCUACCAACUAGCUAAUGCACCGCAGGUCCAUCCAAGAGUGAUAGCAGAACCAUCUUUUAAACAGUUGAUAGGCAUCAUCUGUUGUUAUCCGGUAUUAGCAUCUGUUUCCAGGUGUUAUCCCGAUCUCUUGGGCAGGUUACCCACGUGUUACUCACCCGUCCGCCGCUAGCCUGUAUCUUGUUUCACAGAGUGCAAGCACUCCGAUCUUCAAGGCAGACUCGCUCGA
Molecule: ribosomal RNA, 485 nt
Filed under: uncultured Lactobacillus sp.
Lineage: Bacteria; Bacillati; Bacillota; Bacilli; Lactobacillales; Lactobacillaceae
Description: partial 16S ribosomal RNA
Source: RNAcentral